GAUGAACGCUGGCGGCGUGCCUAAUACAUGCAAGUCGAGCGAACGGACGAGAAGCUUGCUUCUCUGAUGUUAGCGGCGGACGGGUGAGUAACACGUGGAUAACCUACCUAUAAGACUGGGAUAACUUCGGGAAACCGGAGCUAAUACCGGAUAAUAUUUUGAACCGCAUGGUUCAAAAGUGAAAGACGGUCUUGCUGUCACUUAUGGAUGGAUCCGCGCUGCAUUAGCUAGUUGGUAAGGUAACGGCUUACCAAGGCAACGAUGCAUAGCCGACCUGAGAGGGCGAUCGGCCACACUGGAACUGAGACACGGUCCAGACUCCUACGGGAGGCAGCAGUAGGGAAUCUUCCGCAAUGGGCGAAAGCCUGACGGAGCAACGCCGCGUGAGUGAUGAAGGUCUUCGGAUCGUAAAACCCUGUUAUUAGGGAAGAACAUAUGUGUAAGUAACUGUGCACAUCUUGACGGUACCUAAUCAGAAAGCCACGGCUAACUACGUG
Molecule: ribosomal RNA, 497 nt
Filed under: uncultured bacterium
Lineage: Bacteria
Description: partial 16S ribosomal RNA
Rfam family: Bacterial small subunit ribosomal RNA
Source: RNAcentral